GGGGGGGGGGGGGGGGUCGCAAGGCCGGGCCAGCCCGCGAAAGCCCCCCGGCUCCUCCUGGGGAAGCGCCGCGCUCGCCGGGCUCCUUCGCCACUGGAACAUAAAAGGAUCGAUUUGCUCUCCGCAAAGGGACCUUUUCCCUUGCAAACAUACAAGCGCUUCAUGUAAAUCACCAGAAAGCUACUGAUAAGGGCAGAACAGAGCAGAAGAGAACUUUGUCUGGAGCAUCAGCCUUAGCAUCACCUGGACAUUUUUAUUAAUAAGUCAAAAUUGAAUCUUUGCAAUUUAUCUCCCAGCAGAUGACCAGCUAGAAAAAGACAAUAAAAACAAUAUUUCAACCAACAAAUUUUAGACAAUCUGAAUGUUCAUGACUUUUCUCGCUUGUCAUUUUUUCAGCAGCUCCUGCCAUACAUUUAUACAUUAUUUCCACAUUUCCCCUAAACCCUUUUGCCACAGCUGAACCCGUAGCUGCCUUAAUAUACUUACUAUGCCUUAAUGUACCUAAUAUUAUACCUUCAUAUACCUAAGAGCAUGCUUUUAAACAGACUUUAAGUUAGGACAGUUUUCAUGGCAAAGCUUAAUGUGGCAUUUUUCACCUUGAUUUAAGAGAUUCCACAAGAUUUAGCGUGAAACGAGUCCGUGUGUGUCACCCAGAGGCUUGCGGCAGCAUGACUGCAGUUUUGCAUAACGAGGUGCUUUGCUUUGGAAUCACCGCUGCCCUCACUGAUCAGCAGGCCGGGAGGCAAAGCUCCUUCUUCCCCGGCCCUUCUCUGGGUGGCUUUUAGGAAACGUGCAGAAAUGGGAUGCGGUUAGCCAGGUCGCGGGUGCUGGGUGUGAUGUGCCACCGCUUUUCUUUUUGGCACCCACCUGCACCGCGGCUGCGGCUGGCUCAAGAGGACGAGCCCCCCGAGUAAAUUCCCUGGUCAAAGAUGAAACAUGCCAUCUUACGUUUCUGCUUGCUUUUAACAUCCAAGCCUCCAAAUGCACAGACUUCUCAAACAGCACCUUCUAGUUUCCGCCUUAGGCGCAUAGUCUGCUUGGAAAGAAUAAAUAGAAAUAGAGCAAAGAAUAUAGGAAAAUCCCUAUUAGGUGUUUUCUGGGUGUGCAGAGGGGCAGUUACGGGUAUCAGCAGCAAAAUGAGUUUACUUUCCCCUUGGAAACUGCACCAUUGAAUGUCCCUGCCACAGCAACCGCCGUGAAACCGGCACGUCCCCCCAGCAGCGUGCACGGCGGGGCUUCGUGCGCACGGGCUUCGGCUUCGCAGGGUUUUCCGAGCGAUACGGCAGAGACCAACCGUCCUGCGUCGUACUCGUCUCCCCUGACCUGCCACAACCCCGUGCAGAAACCAAAACAGAUGAUCUUACUCGAGUACUGACUCACUUUGCGUGGAAGCGACGUUGCAUGGUGACCGCGCUGGAGCGCGCUGCUCUCGCCGAGCCGCCGAACGGCACCUCGCGCCUACCGCCUGCUUUGCAGCUCUGCAGAAGUCAGCCAGCCUCCAGCUGCGCGGGACAGGGCGAUUAACCUUCCUUCACCUUAGGGACCAAAGACAAGAUAAAUGACCCAGAAAGGCUGCAAAAAGCUUCAGCUGCAGAUCUGGAAGCAGAAUGCAGGAUUUCCUGGCUCGAGAGCUGGCCAGGAUCGCUGCCCAUCCCUGAGCUGCUGCAGGGAGAUGCCCACGCUUGUCUGAACUCCACGUGGAUCGAGCUAUCAAAUACAACCCAGGGAUUUACCUCCCUAAACGCCGCUGAUGCUUUUCUUUCCAAAAUCUUAUUGGCAGUAAGAUCCAAAUGGCAAUGUCACAAAUGUGCAAUUACUGACAUUUAAAUAUAUAUAUAUAAAUCUUAACUAUAGCACUGUUUCGGUUCAGGACAGGUUGUUUCGAGCGCCAUCCGUUUCGGGGGCUUCCCACAAGAGCACAUCGUUUCACGCUCUAACAUGGGGCAAGAGAAGCAGAGAACUCACUUGUACUUGUCAUGAUGCACAUAUGAUUUAUACUAAUGUUGGCUAUUAAAGGAUUUUUAGUAAGUA
Dromaius novaehollandiae (emu) is the source of this 2031-nucleotide long non-coding RNA. RefSeq lists it as uncharacterized. The record is from RefSeq and is a predicted model, not a curated record. The transcript is spliced from 2 exons. Lineage: Eukaryota; Metazoa; Chordata; Aves; Casuariiformes; Dromaiidae.